This 138-nucleotide small nuclear RNA is filed under the name Haemaphysalis longicornis (longhorned tick). RNAcentral describes it as "U1 spliceosomal RNA". It matches the Rfam family "U1 spliceosomal RNA", at positions 1 to 139 of the family's 166-position model. From Rfam's summary of the family: U1 is a small nuclear RNA (snRNA) component of the spliceosome (involved in pre-mRNA splicing). Lineage: Eukaryota; Metazoa; Arthropoda; Arachnida; Ixodida; Ixodidae. The record is from Rfam by way of RNAcentral.
ACACUUAUCUGGUGCCAGGGUCUCGUUGAUCACCAAGGACGAGCUCCCAGGGUGCGGCGCGGGCAUUGCACUGCGCUUGCGUUGACCCCUGCCACGACCCCAAACUGGGGCAGAUUGGGCAUGCAAAUUGUAUAAAUC